This 468-nucleotide ribosomal RNA is filed under the name uncultured bacterium. RNAcentral describes it as "partial 16S ribosomal RNA". It matches the Rfam family "Bacterial small subunit ribosomal RNA", at positions 28 to 507 of the family's 1533-position model. The record is from RNAcentral.
GACGAACGCUGGCGGCGUGCUUAACACAUGCAAGUCGAACGGAAAGGCCCUGCUUUUGUGGGGUGCUCGAGUGGCGAGCGGGUGAGUAACACGUGAGUAACCUGCCCUUGACUUUGGGAUAACUUCAGGAAACUGGGGCUCAUACCGGAUAGGAGCUCCUGCUGCAUGGUGGGGGUUGGAAAGUUUCGGCGGUUGGGGAUGGACUCGCGGCUUAUCAGCUUGUUAGUGGGGUAGUGGCUUACCAAGGCUUUGAAGGGUAGGCGGCCUGAGAGGGUGACCGGCCACAUUGGGACUGAGAUAGGGCCCAGUCGCGUACGGGAGGCAGCAGGGGGGAAUAUUGCAGAACGGGCGCAAGUCUGAUGCAGCAACGCCGCGUGCGGGAUGACGGCCUUCUGGGGGUAAACCGAUGUGGACUGAGACGAAGCGUUAGUGACGGUAAUUGGUAAAGAAGCACCGGCUAACUACGUG